Molecule: long non-coding RNA, 259 nt
Filed under: Hordeum vulgare
Lineage: Eukaryota; Viridiplantae; Streptophyta; Magnoliopsida; Poales; Poaceae
Description: long non-coding RNA (HVUL_LNC015470)
Source: RNAcentral
AGUUGCCUUGAAAUCUUCAGGGGAAUGUCCUCAUGACACCACCUAUGAAGAAUCUAAACCCCAAAUCAAAUUCCUCAGGAGGACCAAAGUCUUCAAGAGGAUCAAAAUCCUCAACUGGUCAAAACUAUGCUCGUACCCGUGCUAAUUCAUCUAACAUGCAGGGAAAUUACAAGGAAUAUGAAUAUGAGCGUUAUUCUUUAAAUCAUUAUGUUCAUAAAUCCUCAAAGAAAUUAUCUGCAUAUUCAUUUGAGUACUUUAA